RNAcentral lists this ribosomal RNA (393 nucleotides) under uncultured bacterium. RNAcentral's name for it is "partial 16S ribosomal RNA". It matches the Rfam family "Bacterial small subunit ribosomal RNA", at positions 523 to 918 of the family's 1533-position model. The record is from RNAcentral.
AUACGGAGGAUGCGAGCGUUAUCCGGAUUUAUUGGGUUUAAAGGGUGCGUAGGCGGACAGUUAAGUCAGCGGUGAAACGCAGGUGCUCAACACCUGACCUGCCGUUGCGACUGGUUUUCUAGAAUGCGGAUGCUGUGGGAGGAAUGUGUGGUGUAGCGGUGAAAUGCAUAGAUAUCACACAGAACACCGAUUGCGAAGGCAUCUCACAAGGCCGCGAUUGACGCUGAGGCACGAAGGUGCGGGGAUCGAACAGGAUUAGAUACCCUGGUAGUCCGCACAGUAAACGAUGAUAACUCGCUGUCGGCGAUAGACAGUCGGUGGCCAAGCGAAAGCGAUAAGUUAUCCACCUGGGGAGUACGACCGCAAGGUUGAAACUCAAAUGAAUUGGCGGGG